This is a long non-coding RNA of Bufo gargarizans (Asiatic toad), 533 nucleotides long. RefSeq lists it as uncharacterized. The record is from RefSeq and is a predicted model, not a curated record. NCBI's taxonomy places the organism in Eukaryota, Metazoa, Chordata, Amphibia, Anura, Bufonidae. The transcript has 3 exons.
CCUUUUGAACCGUCCUCCUUGCAUCCCGCUCCUGUCAUGGUGGAGGGUAAUUUAGAAUUUCAGAUGAACAGGAUUGUGGACUUGAGUUCUCCGUAGAUCUCUCCAGUAUCUCAUCCACUGGAAAGGGUAUGGACCAGAGCAGAGGAUGUGGGUUCCAGCGGUCGAUGUUAAUGCUAAUCGUCUUGUGAAGGCCUUUCACAGAGCUCAUCCUGAUAAGCUCCAGCACCGCCUGCUACAGUUACAUAGACACUCCCAUAUCAAUUUCAUCGUCACUGCCCGACACGCCCAUGGACAUUACAUCACAGGGGAAAAAAAGAGCUGCAUCGGCGUGGUCAUGUGACUUCAGCUCAGAAAGGAAGAUAGGAGAAAUAAAGGUACAGUGCUCGAUAAACAUCGACUAUGACUACUCACAAAAUUGCUGGGAUGGCAGUACAGCCCUGCGCUGUUCUUGCUGUCAAAAAUGACGGAACUGUCCAUGGAGGCUCCGAAUGGAACCCUGAGUGGCAAUGUGAACGCAGUCUUAUACAGUCGAA